RNAcentral lists this ribosomal RNA (468 nucleotides) under uncultured bacterium. Its description in RNAcentral is "partial 16S ribosomal RNA". It matches the Rfam family "Bacterial small subunit ribosomal RNA", at positions 28 to 507 of the family's 1533-position model. The record is from RNAcentral.
GACGAACGCUGGCGGCGUGCUUAACACAUGCAAGUCGAACGGAAAGGCCCUGCUUUUGUGGGGUGCUCGAGUGGCGAACGGGUGAGUAACACGUGAGUAACCUGCCCUUGACUUUGGGAUAACUUCAGGAAACUGGGGCUAAUACCGGAUAGGAGCUCCUGCUGCAUGGUGGGGGUUGGAAAGUUUCGGCGGUUGGGGAUGGACUCGCGGCUUAUCAGCUUGUUGGUGGGGUAGUGGCUUACCAAGGCUUUGACGGGUAGCCGGCCUGAGAGGGUGACCGGCCACAUUGGGACUGAGAUACGGCCCAGACUCCUACGGGAGGCAGCAGUGGGGAAUAUGGCACAGUGGGCCGAAGCCAGAUGCAGCAACGCCGGGUGCGGGAUGACGGCCUUCGGGUUGUAAACCGCUUUCGCCUGUGACGAAGCGUGAGUGACGGUAAUGGGUAAAGAAGCACCGGCUAACUACGUG